GAUGAACGCUGGCGGCGUGCCUAAUACAUGCAAGUCGAGCGAACGGACGAGAAGCUUGCUUCUCUGAUGUUAGCGGCGGACGGGUGAGUAACACGUGGAUAACCUACCUAUAAGACUGGGAUAACUUCGGGAAACCGGAGCUAAUACCGGAUAAUAUUUUGAACCGCAUGGUUCAAAAGUGAACGACGGUCUUGCUGUCACUUAUAGAUGGAUCCGCGCUGCAUUAGCUAGUUGGUAAGGUAACGGCUUACCAAGGCAACGAUGCAUAGCCGACCUGAGAGGGUGAUCGGCCACACUGGAACUGAGACACGGUCCAGACUCCUACGGGAGGCAGCAGUAGGGAAUCUUCGGCAAUGGGCGAAAGCCUGACGGAGCAACGCCGCGUGAGUGAUGAAGGUCUUCGGGUCGUAAAACUCUGUUAUUAGGGAAGAACAUAUGUGGAAGUAACUGUGCACAUCUUGACGGUACCUAAUCAGAAAGCCACGGCUAACUACGUG
This 497-nucleotide ribosomal RNA is filed under the name uncultured bacterium. Its description in RNAcentral is "partial 16S ribosomal RNA". It matches the Rfam family "Bacterial small subunit ribosomal RNA", at positions 28 to 507 of the family's 1533-position model. The record is from RNAcentral.